GCAAGACCGUGAGGUAGAGCAAAACUCAAAAACUUGUCUCAGUUCGGAUUGUAGGCUGAAACUCGCCUACAUGAAGCUGGAGUUGCUAGUAAUCGCGAAUCAGCAUGUCGCGGUGAAUACGUUCCCGGGCCUUGUACACACCGCCCGUCACACCAUGAGAGUUGGCAAUACCCAACGUACGUGAUCUAACCCGCAAGGGAGGAAGCGUCCUAAGGUAGGGUCAGCGAUUGGGGUGAAGUCGUAACAAGGUAGC
RNAcentral lists this ribosomal RNA (253 nucleotides) under uncultured bacterium. RNAcentral's name for it is "partial 16S ribosomal RNA". It matches the Rfam family "Bacterial small subunit ribosomal RNA", at positions 1249 to 1500 of the family's 1533-position model. The record is from RNAcentral.